Molecule: non-coding RNA, 211 nt
Organism: Oryza nivara
Lineage: Eukaryota; Viridiplantae; Streptophyta; Magnoliopsida; Poales; Poaceae
Source: Rfam
UUUUCGUGUCCAAACCUUACGUUUUCGUGUUCAACGUUUGACCGUCCGUCUUAUUUAAAAAAUUAUGAAAAAAAAUAAAAAGACAAGUCACGCAUAAAGUAUUAAUCAUGUUUUAUCAUCUAUAACAACAAUGAAAAUACUAAUUAUAAAAAAAUUUUAUAUAAGACGGACAGUCAAACGUUGGACAUGAAAACUCAGGUUUGUAUUUUUU